This 485-nucleotide ribosomal RNA is filed under the name uncultured soil bacterium. RNAcentral's name for it is "bacterial SSU rRNA". It matches the Rfam family "Bacterial small subunit ribosomal RNA", at positions 26 to 511 of the family's 1533-position model. The record is from RNAcentral.
AGAUUGAACGCUGGCGGCAUGCCUUACACAUGCAAGUCGAACGGCAGCACGGGGGCAACCCUGGUGGCGAGUGGCGAACGGGUGAGUAACAUAUCGGAACGUGCCCUGGAGUGGGGGAUAACUAGUCGAAAGACUAGCUAAUACCGCAUACGAUCUACGGAUGAAAGUGGGGGAUCGCAAGACCUCAUGCUCGUGGAGCGGCCGAUAUCUGAUUAGCUAGUUGGUGGGUAAAGGCUACCAAGGCAUCGAUCAGUAGCUGGUCUGAGAGGACGACCAGCCACACUGGGACUGAGACACGGCCCAGACUCCUACGGGAGCAGCAGUGGGGAAUUUUGGACAAUGGGCGCAAGCCUGAUCCAGCAAUGCCGCGUGAGUGAAGAAGGCCUUCGGUUGUAAAGCUCUUUGUCAGGAAGAAACGGUUCUGGCUAAUAUCGUGGAGCUAAUGACGGUACCUGAAGAAUAAGCGACCGCUAACUACGUGACCG